This is a long non-coding RNA of Juglans microcarpa x Juglans regia, 430 nucleotides long. RefSeq lists it as uncharacterized. The transcript has 2 exons. Lineage: Eukaryota; Viridiplantae; Streptophyta; Magnoliopsida; Fagales; Juglandaceae. The record is from RefSeq and is a predicted model, not a curated record.
UAAAGCGAAUGCCCUCGACUCUCUCCGCAAAACUCUGUUUUUCCUUUGAGAAAAAACUCUCUUCGCAAACGAUAAGAAAUUUCUGAUCUUUUUCAUGUCUUCUCGGCGACCCUCGACCUCGACGACACCAAUCACCGUCCACCUCCUGCACGCCGUCGUUCCAUGCCUGCCCGUGCAUCGAGGUUCCUUGAAUUAUAUUGGAGAAAUUGGUCGAGAAGAACUGCAUUCCAGUAGUGCUGACGACUGAUAUUUAUUGUAAUUGCAGAUGUGUGGAAAAGGACUUUUCAAUGCUAACCUUUUUCAACAAUAUUUGACUUUGAAUAUCUGUAACUUUUUUUUUUUUUUAUAAGUACGAAUAUAUAUCUGGAACUAAAUUCCUGUAAUACAGUCUUUCCUUCAACUAUAUAUAUGUACUUGGUCAUUUACUUCA